RNAcentral lists this unclassified non-coding RNA (351 nucleotides) under uncultured fungus. RNAcentral describes it as "sequence contains ITS1". The stretch from base 1 to 100 matches the Rfam family "5.8S ribosomal RNA", at positions 50 to 154 of the family's 154-position model. Lineage: Eukaryota; Fungi. The record is from RNAcentral.
GAACUGCGAUACGUAAUGUGACUUGCAGAAUCUCGUGAAUCAUCCAAUCUUUGAACGCAAAUGGCGCUCCCGUUAACGGAGCACGCCUGGCUGAGUAUCAUUGCCCUCUCUCUCCCCCGUGAAUGGGGGGUCAGCACUGCGGGUGCCACGCCGCUCGCCGGCGCGCCCCGUGAAACGCGUCUUUCCACACCGCGCGCGCGCUCGGCCGCCGGCGCCGGGGGUGGCCCACUCUUGCACGCUGUAAGCGACCUCGCUCCUCGUGCCCGGGUGGUGUCCGCCGCCGCGCCGCGCCCCGUGUCGCGCCGCCCCCAACAUGAUCUCAGCUCAGGCGAGAGGACCCGCUGAACUUAA